RNAcentral lists this ribosomal RNA (468 nucleotides) under uncultured bacterium. RNAcentral's name for it is "partial 16S ribosomal RNA". It matches the Rfam family "Bacterial small subunit ribosomal RNA", at positions 28 to 507 of the family's 1533-position model. The record is from RNAcentral.
GACGAACGCUGGCGGCGGGCUUAACACAUGCAAGUCGAACGGAAAGGGCCUGCUUUUGUGGGGUGCUCGCGUGGCGAACGGGUGAGUUACAUGUGAGUAACCUGCCCUUGACUUUGGGAUAACUUCAGGCAACUGGGGCUAAUACCGGAUAGGUGCUCCUGCUGCAUGGUGGGGGUUGGAAAGUAUCGGCGGUUGGGGAUGGACUCGCGGCUUAUCAGCUUGUUGGUGGGGUAGUGGCUUACCAAGGCUUUGACGGGUAGCCGGCCUGAGAGGGUGACCGGCCACAUUGGGACUGAGAUACGGCCCAGACUCCUACGGGAGGCAGCAGUGGGGAAUAUUGCACAAUGGGCGGAAGCCUGAUGCAGCAACGCCGCGUGCGGGAUGACGGCCUUCGGGUUGUAAACCGCUUUCGCCUGUGACGAAGCGUGAGUGACGGUAAUGGGUAAAGAAGCACCGGCUAACUACGUG